This is a long non-coding RNA of Arabidopsis thaliana (thale cress), 333 nucleotides long. RefSeq annotates it as other RNA. Lineage: Eukaryota; Viridiplantae; Streptophyta; Magnoliopsida; Brassicales; Brassicaceae. The transcript has 2 exons. The record is from RefSeq.
UGUGUGUGUGUGUUUAUGGAUAGUAUCGAAUAUGUCAAAGUUAAGAAGAAGAGAAUAUAUUCGUGUCGGGCCCCAUAUUUACUCGGUUCACCCAUUUAGAAUCAUUAGGGCACACAAAGCUUUUGCAAAUCACCCCUGCACAAAAUUUAAACAGAGAGCAAGAGAGAGAUGGGUGUAACAAAGGAGCAAGUCCAAGCUUCGUUGACUUCAAAACUUAGCCCUGUUCAUCUGAAAGGAACAAGACCCAUCUUUCUUCUUCCAUCAAUUUUGUUCCAGACCCAAUUUUGUUCCAAACUGGGAAGUGACGUGUGUACCACCAAUUCUUCUUCCAUC